RNAcentral lists this ribosomal RNA (253 nucleotides) under uncultured bacterium. RNAcentral describes it as "partial 16S ribosomal RNA". It matches the Rfam family "Bacterial small subunit ribosomal RNA", at positions 524 to 776 of the family's 1533-position model. The record is from RNAcentral.
UACGUAGGGACCGAGCGUUGUCCGGAUUCAUUGGGCGUAAAGAGCUCGUAGGCGGCCACUCAAGUCGAAUGUGAAACCUCGAGGCUUAACCUCGAGCCUGCAUUCGAUACUGGGCGGCUAGAGUCUGGUAGGGGGAUCUGGAAUUCCUGGUGUAGCGGUGGAAUGCGCAGAUAUCAGGAGGAACACCGAUGGCGAAGGCAGGUCUCUGGGCCACUACUGACGCUGAGAAGCGAAAGCAUGGGGAGCGAACAGG